This 266-nucleotide ribosomal RNA is filed under the name uncultured bacterium. RNAcentral's name for it is "partial 16S ribosomal RNA". It matches the Rfam family "Bacterial small subunit ribosomal RNA", at positions 87 to 354 of the family's 1533-position model. The record is from RNAcentral.
UAAAUCUAGUGGCGACGGGUGAGUAACGCGUGGGUAACCUGCCUUACACUGGGGAUAACACUUAGAAAUAGGUGCUAAUACCGCAUAAGCGCACGAAGCCGCAUGGAUUUGUGUGAAAAACUCCGGUGGUGUAAGAUGGACCCGCGUCUGAUUAGCUUGUUGGCGGGGUAACGGCCCACCAAGGCGACGAUCAGUAGCCGGCCUGAGAGGGUGGACCGGCCACAUUGGGACUGAGACACGGCCCAAACUCCUACGGGAGGCAGCAG